This 483-nucleotide long non-coding RNA is filed under the name Homo sapiens (human). RNAcentral describes it as "HSALNT0292004". The record is from RNAcentral. Lineage: Eukaryota; Metazoa; Chordata; Mammalia; Primates; Hominidae.
GCGCCCGCAGCCUUGGGCCUGGGAGAGUGCUGCGAUGAACUUAUGAGUGAAUGCAUCAAAAAGACCAAGUUGAACUUAUGAGCGAAUGCAUCAAAAAGACCAAGACUUGAUCCCUUGCCCACAAAGAUACAAGGCUGAGGACAAAGCCAUGAAGGAAAAGCCUCACUGAAGAAGAGGAACCUAAGAGAAGCAGGUUCUGCUCUGAUGAACUCCCAUAAAGGCAUUCCCAUAAAGGUGUGGGCCUGAGUGAUAAUCUAGAUAUGGUACAGUUGACAUCAGGUAUAUGGCGGCAGCCAGAAAUUCAACUUUGUCCAUCAGCUCUCUGCACAACAGGAAAGAUGGUGACCUUCCAGGCUUAUCUGAGGUCCAAGAGUAACAUCACAAACACAGUAACUACACCCAGCCAAAGAAAAGCAUACCUGAAUCCAAGAGAGUAUUUACACUGGCUUCAGGGAUGAGGAAAUAAAGGAGUAAGUGAUUAGG